UACGUAGGGUGCAAGCGUUGUCCGGAAUUAUUGGGCGUAAAGAGCUCGUAGGCGGCUUGUCGCGUCGGCUGUGAAAACCCGCGGCUCAACUGUGGGCGGGCAGCUGAUACAGGCAGGCUGGAGUUCGGUAGGGGAGACUGGAAUUCCUGGUGUAGCGGUGAAAUGCGCAGAUAUCAGGAGGAACACCGGUGGCGAAGGCGGGUCUCUGGGCCGAUACUGACGCUGAGGAGCGAAAGCGUGGGGAGCGAACAGG
RNAcentral lists this ribosomal RNA (253 nucleotides) under uncultured bacterium. RNAcentral describes it as "partial 16S ribosomal RNA". It matches the Rfam family "Bacterial small subunit ribosomal RNA", at positions 524 to 776 of the family's 1533-position model. The record is from RNAcentral.